CGCUCGCAGUUGCCAGCAUCUCCGUAAGGAGGAUGGGAACUCUGUGAGGACUGCCGCCGCUAAGGUGGAGGAAGAAGCGGGCCACGGUAGGUCAGUAUGCCCCGAAUCCUCCGGGCUACACGCGUGCUACAAUGGAUAGUACAAUGAGUAUCGACCCCGAAAGGGGAAGGUAAACCCCUAAAACUAUCCUUAGUUGGGAUCGAGGGCUGCAACUCGCCCUCGUGAACCUGGAAUCCGUAGUAAUCGCAUCUCAAAAUGGUGCGGUGAAUAUGUCCCUGCUCCUUGCACACACCGCCCGUCAAGCCAGCCGAGUGGGAU
This 318-nucleotide ribosomal RNA is filed under the name uncultured archaeon. RNAcentral's name for it is "bacterial SSU rRNA". It matches the Rfam family "Archaeal small subunit ribosomal RNA", at positions 1055 to 1372 of the family's 1478-position model. The record is from RNAcentral.